CGACAAGGGGAGUGAAAAACUCCCCCGCCGGAAGACCAAGGGUUUCUGUUCGACGCUAAUCGGAGCAGAGUGAGUCGGCCCCUAAGGCGAGGCCGAAAGGCGUAGUCGAUGGGAAACGGGUCAAUAUUCCCGUACCUCACUGUAUUGCGAUGGGGGGACGAAGAAGGCUAGGUGAGCCAGGCGUUGGUUGUCCUGGUGAAAGCCAGUAGGCUGGGAUCUCAGGCAAAUCCGGGAUCCUAAGGCCGAGAGGCGAGACGAACUGACCACGGUCAGGAAGUCAUCGAUGCCACGCUUCCAGGAAAAGCCUCUAAGCUUCAGAUACAGUGGGACCGUACCCCAAACCGACACAGGUGGUCAGGUAGAGAAUACCAAGGCGCUUGAGAGAACUCGGGUGAAGGAACUAGGCAAAAUGGUGCCGUAACUUCGGGAGAAGGCACGCCGCGUUAGUGUGAAGGGACUUGCUCCCGGAGCACGAGGCGGUCGAAGAUACCAGGUGGCUGCA
This 502-nucleotide ribosomal RNA is filed under the name Enterococcus faecium. Its description in RNAcentral is "partial 23S ribosomal RNA". It matches the Rfam family "Bacterial large subunit ribosomal RNA", at positions 1310 to 1798 of the family's 2925-position model. The record is from RNAcentral. Lineage: Bacteria; Bacillati; Bacillota; Bacilli; Lactobacillales; Enterococcaceae.